Molecule: ribosomal RNA, 584 nt
Filed under: uncultured bacterium
Lineage: Bacteria
Description: bacterial SSU rRNA
Rfam family: Bacterial small subunit ribosomal RNA
Source: RNAcentral
CCUAUGGGAGGCAGCAGUGGGGAAUUUUGGACAAUGGGCGCAAGCCUGAUCCAGCAAUGCCGCGUGAGUGAAGAAGGCCUUCGGGUUGUAAAGCUCUUUUGUCAGGGAAGAAACGGUGGGAGCUAAUAUCUCCCGCUAAUGACGGUACCUGAAGAAUAAGCACCGGCUAACUACGUGCCAGCAGCCGCGGUAAUACGUAGGGUGCAAGCGUUAAUCGGAAUUACUGGGCGUAAAGCGUGCGCAGGCGGUUUUGUAAGUCUGUCGUGAAAGCCCCGGGCUCAACCUGGGAAUUGCGAUGGAGACUGCAAGGCUUGAAUCUGGCAGAGGGGGGUAGAAUUCCACGUGUAGCAGUGAAAUGCGUAGAGAUGUGGAGGAACAUCGAUGGCGAAGGCAGCCCCCUGGGUCAAGAUUGACGCUCAUGCACGAAAGCGUGGGGAGCAAACAGGAUUAGAUACCCUGGUAGUCCACGCCCUAAACGAUGUCUACUAGUUGUCGGGUUUUAAUUAACUUGGUAACGCAGCUAACGCGUGAAGUAGACCGCCUGGGGAUACGGUCGCAAGNUUAAAACGUCAAAGGAUUGACGG